This 3214-nucleotide long non-coding RNA is filed under the name Helianthus annuus (common sunflower). Its description in RNAcentral is "hypothetical non coding rna". Lineage: Eukaryota; Viridiplantae; Streptophyta; Magnoliopsida; Asterales; Asteraceae. The record is from RNAcentral.
GUAUGUGUUCGUAGGAGCGACCAGGAGAAUAGGGGAGGGAGCCAAACCUAGUUCUUCAAGAAUCUUCAAAUUGAAGCUCAAUUCAGGCCCUAAAUCGAUGCAUGAACACAUAAAAACGAUCACCAAGCUUAGGGGAUCAUGAGUUUAACGCUUAACAAGCUAGGUGGGAGCUUGUGGAGGAAGCGGGUCAAACGAAUCAAGAACGAAAAGAAAAGCGUGGUUUGGAUGCAAGGUAAGUAAAAGCUUACACCCUUUUAUAUUAUACAUCAGUUGCGUGCAAUGAAAAUGAAUAGAGAAAAAUCCGUAAUUGAAUUUUGAUGUUCCGACGUGAAUAAUAUGGGUCGGAACAAGUGAAAGUGCUGAAAACCAUGAUGGUUGUAAAAAAAGGGGGUAAAAUAGUAAAUUAGUCAUGAGUUUUGACACGAUAUUUGACCAGAAGUUGGUUUACAACAUAAAGGAUGUUUAGUAAUUUUUAUAGAUUUUUAUAAAGUCGUUUGACGAGGUUUUCGCGGAUGUUUUGUCAAUAAAUCAGUUGUUGACAACAACAGUUCCGCUACUUGCAGAAAUUAUUUCGAGGUCUUAACCAUCGUGUUUUGACACGAUAUUUGACCAGAAGUUGGUUUACAACAUAAAGGAUGUUUAGUAAUUUUUAUAGAUUUUUAUAAAGUCGUUUGACAAGGUUUUCGCGGAUGUUUUGUCAAUAAAUCAGUUGUUGACAGCAACAGUUCCGCUAUUUGCAGAAAUUAUUUCGAGGUCUUAACCAUCGAGUUUUGACACGAUAUUUGACCAAAAGUUGGUUUACAAUAUAAAGGAUGUUUAGUAAUUUUUAUAGAUUUUUAUAAAGUCGUUUGACGAGGUUUUCGCGGAUGUUUUGUCAAUAAAUCAGUUGUUGACAGAAACACUUCCGCUACUUGCAGAAAUUAUUUCGAGGUCUUAACCAUUGAGUUUUGACACGAUAUUUGACCAGAAGUUGGUUUACAACAUAAAGGAUGUUUAGUAAUUUUUAUAGAUUUUUUUAAAGUGGUUCGACGAGAUUUUCGCGGAUGUUUUGUUAAUAAAUUAGUUGUUGACAGCAACAGUUCCGUUACUUGCAGAAAUUAUUUCGAUGUCUUAACUAUCGAGUUUUGACAUGAUAUUUGGCCAGAAGUUGUUCAACAACAUAAAUAAUGUUUGGUAAGUUUUAUACAUUUUAGACAUAAGCUUUUUUGGGUCAAGUGCCUAUAAACGGGUCUUUUCCGUAAAACAACCAACCGAAAUGUAGAAUCCGGGAAAAUCGGUCAAAUAUACUAAAUCCACCACGAGUAUAGUUGUGGUUAAAUGUAACUAGAUAAUUCAAAUUUGGGAAAAUGAUGGGUGAAAAGAAUGAGCGAAAUUUAAACUUAAAAGUUUAAAUUCUCUAAACGGGUCAAAAUGAAUUACGCGCAUAACUUGGGUAUUGGUUGCGUAAUUCACAAAAGUUAAAAAUCUGAAAUAAAGAUUUUGAAUUAAAUACUUUGGUGUAUGAUUUAUGAUUAACUAGAAACAAGUGUGUUUGAUUAAAUCAUAAACGGGUCAAAAGUGUUAAAAAGGGAUUUCAAGCCGAGAACUUGAAAUCUGAAUUUUUGAAGUAGUCUAAUAUCAGGUAGUGACUCCAUGAGAUGGAGAAUUAAAUUUCGAACGCGUAGGAAAAAGACUCGGGUAAAACGGACUUGUAAAUAAAAAGUUAUGACACUUUAAAGUUCGUUUUACGACUAAAACUAUAACUGGACAGACAUGCAGGUUCCAGAGACGGACCUGCUGGAAAAUGGUUUCCCCCGCGCCACGCGACGGAGGACAUAGCAUGGGGCGUGACACGCGACAACCGUCGCGACACGCUACAGGUUUAGUGAACGCCGUCGCGACACGCGGCGGCUUAAAAUUUUGGAAAUUUUUGAUGUUCUUGUUGUUGGCUUAUUUUGACCCACAAACCGGUUCAAUAAUGUUUAUAAACGCCUAAUGACUAACUCAUUUCAUGUUUUAUGAAAUGUAGGUAUAUUAUACAACAACGGAAGACGAUCAAGCUCGAAGAAGAACCGAACACAUGAAAAAGAAGCUUCCGCACAUUGUUUCGUCAUAAAUUUUUAAAUGACAAAUCCUUUUACAUCAUGUUGUAUUACUUUUAAUGUAAAAGUUUUAAAUAAACCCGUAUUUUUAUAAGUAUGUGCUAUCGGAAUUAUGCAUUAGUUACCGAUAAUUAUACGAAAAUCUAAAAUAAAUAGACAGGGUGUUACAAGUUGGUAAUCAGAGCUCAUGGUUAAAGAACAAAGUGUGUUCGGUUCGUGGCUUGAUCGCAAAUCUGGUAAGUACAUGUAUGUUAAUGGUUUAGCAUGUUAAAGUGUUGUAAAGAACACAUAGGGUUAUUGCUUAAUACACGUUACCCCAAUUAAAAUGAUUGAUAUAGUUAAUGAAAUUACGUGCGUUGACACGUAUAACAGAAAGCCUUGUAUUAUAAUACGGACGAUUAUUGAUGUUGACAUUACUUACCUUUGUGAAUGUUUUAAUUGAAGGACACUCGCAUCCGAAAAUAGCGGGAGUUUAAUAAAUUACGGAUCUGACGAAGGAACGGUCCAAAGUAUGACAAGCAGAGCAUGCUCAUCAAGGACCUAAAUCGCGUAACGAUCGCGAAUAAGUUAAUGGCAAGGAAAGCCCGUAAGGGCAAGCAUUUACCAGGUGCACUUUUUAAUUUUAUUGCACGAAUAGUAAUAUGAAACAAAUAUAUAGAGUCUGACUGUUGCAUAUGUAGGUUAAAAACUUGGAAAAACCUGAAUAGAAUACCUAUUCAGGAUAUUGUUUCCAAGAAAAAAAUAAAUAGAGGCAUUACUUACAUAGGGCGUGAUGUGAAAACUAUAAAAAGGCCAUGUGUGUCAUGUGUUAAUCGCUUACUCUGGCCAAGUAAGUAGUGGCAUAUGAUACCAUGAACUUCUUAUAGUGGAUGCAUUUACGUCCAAUGUAGUAAGGGCAGGGUGAAUGGGACGAACUAAAAAAGGUACCUAAAUAAAUCAAACGGGCAAGAUGUUUGAUAAUAAACGUAAAACGCAAGUCGGAUGAUGGAAGCAUAUUACGUUAGAGUAACGAGCCCGAGAGAAGGGACAAGGAUCAAAGUAAAUGAAAAUACAGAUCGAUUAAUAGGAUGCUAAGGCAUAGAGAUAAAAGUUUGACUGUCACAAGUGAUGAAAUUCACACGUACAAGUCAAAU